RNAcentral lists this ribosomal RNA (381 nucleotides) under uncultured eukaryote. RNAcentral's name for it is "partial 18S ribosomal RNA". It matches the Rfam family "Eukaryotic small subunit ribosomal RNA", at positions 592 to 976 of the family's 1831-position model. The record is from RNAcentral.
CAAUAGCGUAUAUUAAAGCUGUUGCGGUUAAAAAGCUCGUAGUUGGAUUUCUGUCGAGGACAACUGGUCCGCCCUCCGGGUGAGCACAUAGUUUGGUCUUGACAUCUUGCUGGAAGCUGUUGCUGCACUUGGCUGUGUGGCGCAGUGUUCAGCACUUUCACUUUGAGGAAAUUGGAGUGUUUCAAGCAGGCACAUGCCUUUGGACACAGUAGCAUGGAAUAAUUAGAUUGGGCUUUUGCUCCAAUUUGUCGGUUUCUGGAGCUGAGGUGAGUAUUAAUGGGGAUUGUUGGGGGCAUCCGAAUUUAGCCGUCAGAGGUGAAAUUCUUGGAUCUGCUAAAGACGGACAACUGCGAAAGCGUUUGCCCAGGAUGUUUNCAUUGA